Molecule: unclassified non-coding RNA, 547 nt
Filed under: Hevea brasiliensis (rubber tree)
Lineage: Eukaryota; Viridiplantae; Streptophyta; Magnoliopsida; Malpighiales; Euphorbiaceae
Source: RNAcentral
AAUAUCUGAUGUCAAAUAACAGCAAGUGGACAAACAGGUUCAUAACAAGCACAAUCAUGUUGCUUAGUACAUUUGUCCAUACACCUUAGAUGAAUGGCUCAUGUACAUGGUCAAUGCCAUGCCAUCUUGUUGAUGGUUGUAGACCUGUAAUGUGAAAAUCCUUCUGAAACAUUUAAUUUUAAGAUCUUUCAUGGCCUUUUGCAAAUCUAGAUGCAAGAUGGAUUUGAGAGCCUAACAGGCUGGAACACAAAGGCCUCCUUUGCCUCUUCUGACUUCGGCCAUUAACAACAGACCAAAAGACAACUAGUUUAAAUCUGAUUCUCUAAUUCCGCUGGUUUAAAUGUGCUUUGCAAUCUUUCCAAGUAAAUUCCUUUCUUUUUUCACUCUUUAACUGCACCUUCAGGCAAGUGGAAAGAUACUCAGAAACUUCAUGAUUCUGGACAUCAUCCUCUUUGCUCAAAUUACCCAUGCGAAGCCAAUACUUUGAGCAUCAGCGUGUGAAGUGGCAAUUUUCUCUUUGACUUUCAAUGUUGUAGUUCAAAUGGCA